UACGUAGGGGGCAAGCGUUGUCCGGAUUUAUUGGGCGUAAAGAGCGUGUAGGCGGUUAGGUAGGUCCGUUGUGAAAACUCGAGGCUCAACCUCGAGACGCCGAUGGAAACCAUCUAACUAGAGUCCGGAAGAGGAGAGUGGAAUUCCUGGUGUAGCGGUGAAAUGCGCAAGUAUCAGGAAGAACACCCGUGGCUAAGGCGGCUCUCUAGUACGGUACUGACGCUGAGACGCGAAAGCGUGGGGAGCGAACAGG
This 253-nucleotide ribosomal RNA is filed under the name uncultured bacterium. RNAcentral describes it as "partial 16S ribosomal RNA". It matches the Rfam family "Bacterial small subunit ribosomal RNA", at positions 524 to 776 of the family's 1533-position model. The record is from RNAcentral.